CCUACGGGAGGCAGCAGUGGGGAAUAUUGCACAAUGGGGGAAACCCUGAUGCAGCAACGCCGCGUGAGUGAAGAAGUAUUUCGGUAUGUAAAGCUCUAUCAGCAGGGAAGAGAAUGACGGUACCUGACUACUAAGCCACGGCCAACUACGUGCCAGCAGCCGCGGUAAUACGCAGGGGGCAAGCGUUAUCCGGAUUUACUGGGUGUAAAGGGAGCGUAGACGGCUGUACAAGUCUGGAGUGAAAGCCCGUGGCUCAACCGCGGAACUGCUUUGGAAACUGUAAAGCUGGAGUACUGGAGAGGCGGGCAGAAUUCCUAGUGUAGCGGUGAAAUGCGUAGAGAUUAGGAGGAACAC
RNAcentral lists this ribosomal RNA (354 nucleotides) under uncultured bacterium. RNAcentral's name for it is "partial 16S ribosomal RNA". It matches the Rfam family "Bacterial small subunit ribosomal RNA", at positions 338 to 709 of the family's 1533-position model. The record is from RNAcentral.